RNAcentral lists this ribosomal RNA (253 nucleotides) under uncultured bacterium. RNAcentral describes it as "partial 16S ribosomal RNA". It matches the Rfam family "Bacterial small subunit ribosomal RNA", at positions 524 to 776 of the family's 1533-position model. The record is from RNAcentral.
UACAGAGGGUGCGAGCGUUAAUCGGAAUUACUGGGCGUAAAGCGCACGUAGUCGGCUUUGCAAGUCGGGUGUGAAAUCCCCGGGCUCAACCUGGGAACUGCAUCCGAGACUGCAUGGCUAGAGUAUGGAAGAGGGAAGUGGAAUUUCCGGUGUAGCGGUGAAAUGCGCAGAUAUCAGGAGGAACACCGAUGGCGAAGGCAGGUCUCUGGGCCACUACUGACGCUGAGAAGCGAAAGCAUGGGGAGCGUACAGG